GCCUGGCUGGCUUAGUUGGUAGAGCAUCUAACUCUUGAUCUUGGGGUGGUGAGUUCAAACCCCAUGUUGGGCG
RNAcentral lists this transfer RNA (73 nucleotides) under Canis lupus familiaris (dog). It matches the Rfam family "tRNA". Rfam says of the family: Transfer RNA (tRNA) molecules are approximately 80 nucleotides in length. Their secondary structure includes four short double-helical elements and three loops (D, anti-codon, and T loops). Lineage: Eukaryota; Metazoa; Chordata; Mammalia; Carnivora; Canidae. The record is from Rfam by way of RNAcentral. RNAcentral also lists the same sequence under 2 other names.